RNAcentral lists this ribosomal RNA (500 nucleotides) under uncultured bacterium. RNAcentral's name for it is "partial 16S ribosomal RNA". It matches the Rfam family "Bacterial small subunit ribosomal RNA", at positions 28 to 523 of the family's 1533-position model. The record is from RNAcentral.
GACGAACGCUGGCGGCGUGCUUAACACAUGCAAGUCGAACGGCAGCACGGGCUUCGGUCUGGUGGCGAGUGGCGAACGGGUGAGUAAUGUAUCGGAACGUGCCCAGUAGCGGGGGAUAACUACUCGAAAGAGUAGCUGAUACCGCAUACGCCCUACGGGGGAAAGGGGGGGAUCGCAAGACCUCUCACUAUUGGAGCGGCCGAUAUCGGAUUAGCUAGUUGGUGGGGUAAAGGCCCACCAAGGCGACGAUCCGUAGCUGGUUUGAGAGGACGACCAGCCACACUGGGACUGAGACACGGCCCAGACUCCUACGGGAGGCAGCGGUGGGGAAUUUUGGACAAUGGGGGCAACCCUGAUCCAGCCAUCCCGCGUGUGCGAUGAAGGCCUUCGGGUUGUAAAGCACUUUUGGCAGGAAAGAAAUCGCACGGGCUAAUACCUCGUGUGGAUGACGGUACCUGCAGAAUAAGCACCGGCUAACUACGUGCCAGCCGCCGCUGUAA